GGCUAUGUAGCUCAGCUGGUUAGAGCGCUGCACUCAUAACGCAGAGGUCGGUAGUUCAAGUCUACCCAUAGCCACCA
RNAcentral lists this transfer RNA (77 nucleotides) under Gammaproteobacteria bacterium. RNAcentral's name for it is "tRNA-Met". It matches the Rfam family "tRNA". From Rfam's summary of the family: Transfer RNA (tRNA) molecules are approximately 80 nucleotides in length. Their secondary structure includes four short double-helical elements and three loops (D, anti-codon, and T loops). Further hydrogen bonds mediate the characteristic L-shaped molecular structure. tRNAs have two regions of fundamental functional importance: the anti-codon, which is responsible for specific mRNA codon recognition, and the 3' end, to which the tRNAs corresponding amino acid is attached (by aminoacyl-tRNA synthetases). tRNAs cope with the degeneracy of the genetic code in two manners: having more than one tRNA (with a specific anti-codon) for a particular amino acid; and 'wobble' base-pairing, i.e. permitting non-standard base-pairing at the 3rd anti-codon position. Lineage: Bacteria; Pseudomonadati; Pseudomonadota; Gammaproteobacteria. RNAcentral also lists the same sequence under 2 other names. The record is from RNAcentral.